GGGGGAGGCGAAGCGAGGCGAGGCGGCAGCGCGCGGCCGGGAGGAAGCCGCGUUAUAUUGUAGGUUUGGAAGGCACCCACCACUUCCAUCAGGGCCAGCCCCAUCGCUGUCGCACGCUGGGCUCCUACCCCGGAGCUGCAGCACACAAUCUCAUGUUACACAGAACCUUGACACGAGGGAGCAACUUUAUUGGACAUCAGCAUCAUUCUGACGACAACACUGUCUUCAGCACGGGUCACCAGAGUCUGGCAGGGUACACGAAACCCAAACGCCCAUCCUACCAGAGGCCAAUAAAAACUUACCAGUUUCUCUUAUAAGAUUUCAAAGUCUCAGAUGCAUUUCUUGGAGGAUAAAACUCCAAUCGU
Long non-coding RNA from Centrocercus urophasianus (Greater sage-grouse), 365 nucleotides. RefSeq lists it as uncharacterized. The transcript has 3 exons. The record is from RefSeq and is a predicted model, not a curated record. NCBI's taxonomy places the organism in Eukaryota, Metazoa, Chordata, Aves, Galliformes, Phasianidae.